CGUUACUGUUAUUAACGCAAAUGAGUGAGAAUAUAAUAUUAUAAAGUGUUUCAUGAACAAUUUUAUUGGGACAAAGCUAGCCGUUCUUUUGCUAGACAAGCCAGCCGUAGCGCUUGUAGAAAAGAAUACCUACGAAUGUGUUUAUAUAAGCUAUCGUAAAGUCCUCGAGCUCCCCUGUGCUCGAGUGGCUUCCGUGUCAGCGGAGUUACAGCGCAGUAGCAGACGACGCCAGAGCGCCGGUUCUGAAGCCGAGCGACGCCACAGCCUGCAUACGGCUCCGACACGAGCCAGCUCUUCCCCCGACAACCAACAGAAUAUUUCGUACAGAACCGAUGCAGUGCAUCCUUCGUCUAGUUGCCAAACUGACGUGUCUUCGUCGCAGCACAUGGAUAGCCCAAUUAAUUUGCACUUCACUGAACUACUUUCAGAAUACGUAAUUAUCGAAACCAAAUUUUUAAUGUAAUAAAACUUUUUAAACACUGUUGACGAGUAAGAAAAAUGUCACAAAUGAUGCUAGAUUAAAUUUAUUAGAGUAAUCACCAAACUUUUUAUAUUUUUACUACCAAUAUGUAUCUGUUAAUAUUUACAAAAAUUAUCAAUAUGAAAUAAGAACAAGAGCGGUGCGCUGUGGCGCUGAUGCGGCGCGGUUGCCGGCUAAAAAUAUACGAUUCAUUCUGUUUGUCGAAUGUAGUUCAACGCUUAAUUUUAGAGUAUAUUGCAACGUGUUCUUACAGAUAUUAUAUUUAGUUUGCAGAAAAAAAUUAAAUAUUAUUUAAAUAAACGGGUAACAUUGAUGAAAGGAGUACUAUACCAGAUGUUAAAUUAUUCUGAGGCAACGGUUCCACUUUCUUUGCUACUGAUGACGUCACACAAGAAACAGCUUGCAACGUGUGAAAAUCUACUAAAAUAUGUGUCGCUAAUCGACUCGGCUUUAUGCACUACGAGCAUUGACCAGCGACGAUAAUCAUGAAAGACAAAUACGAAUCUACUUGUUGCAUGCGUUCCGUCAUCGUUAACCAGUAGCUAGCUUUCAAUAUACAUGUCAAUAAAAGCUUCUGUUACACUUUGAUUUUAAAAUAAAUUUAUAUUAAAGGAGAGGUUAAGACGGACAAUUUAAGGAGCAUCAGUUAUAAAUUAGGUUCUCUAACAGAUAAAACACCAUCUCAUGUUCGUUACAAAAACUAUGAAUAUUCUAGUAAACUGCCACAAACAAAUAAAACCAGACAUGCAGCAAUCAAACUUAGCUUUGUUAAUAAUUCCAGGAUAUAUUAUUACAGAAUAUGUUUAAAACUAGUUGAGAAAAACUUUGAAAAGUCAAGUUACAUCGCCGCCAAUUCUUUCUUGACUGUGGCAUUGUAGGUGGCUGUCACCGCACCAACGUCAAAGGGACCCUCGUCACGGAGAGACCCUCGCGGUGACUUCUCCCCACCUUGUUUUAACUUCAGGCGAAUCUCACGCAUGCGACUUUC
Bombyx mori (domestic silkworm) is the source of this 1469-nucleotide long non-coding RNA. RefSeq lists it as uncharacterized. NCBI's taxonomy places the organism in Eukaryota, Metazoa, Arthropoda, Insecta, Lepidoptera, Bombycidae. The transcript has 3 exons. The record is from RefSeq and is a predicted model, not a curated record.